AUGUCAUGUUGAGGACAAUCUUCACAAAGCUUCUUGAAUCUUUCCCAAACUUGUUAAAAAUUCUCAUCUUUGUGCUGUUGAAAGUUUGCAAUCCAUUGUCUCCCCUU
This is a non-coding RNA of Corchorus olitorius, 107 nucleotides long. NCBI's taxonomy places the organism in Eukaryota, Viridiplantae, Streptophyta, Magnoliopsida, Malvales, Malvaceae. The record is from Rfam.